This 494-nucleotide ribosomal RNA is filed under the name uncultured bacterium. RNAcentral describes it as "bacterial SSU rRNA". It matches the Rfam family "Bacterial small subunit ribosomal RNA", at positions 903 to 1397 of the family's 1533-position model. The record is from RNAcentral.
AAAGGAAUAGACGGGGGCCCGCACAAGCAGCGGAGCAUGUGGUUUAAUUCGAAGCAACGCGAAGAACCUUACCAAGGCUUGACAUCCCGGUGACCGGCAUAGAGAUAUGCCUUCUCUUCGGAGCACCGGUGACAGGUGGUGCAUGGUUGUCGUCAGCUCGUGUCGUGAGAUGUUGGGUUAAGUCCCGCAACGAGCGCAACCCUUGUUACUAGUUGCCAGCAUUUCGGAUGGGAACUCUAGUGAGACUGCCGGGGAUAACUCGGAGGAAGGUGGGGAUGACGUCAAAUCAUCAUGCCCUUUAUGUCUUGGGCUACACACGUGCUACAAUGGUCGGUACAAAGAGCGGCGAGCUCGUAAGAGUCAGCGAAUCUCAAAAAGCCGGUCUCAGUUCGGAUUGUGGGCUGCAACCCGCCCACAUGAAGUCGGAGUUGCUAGUAAUCGCGGAUCAGCAUGCCGCGGUGAAUGCGUUCCCGGGCCUUGUACACACCGCCCGU